This 142-nucleotide unclassified non-coding RNA is filed under the name uncultured fungus. RNAcentral's name for it is "sequence contains ITS1, 5.8S rRNA gene". Lineage: Eukaryota; Fungi. The record is from RNAcentral.
CCGAGUGAGGGCCUUCGGCCCGACCUCCAACCCUUUGUUGACCAACACCUGUUGCCUCGGGGGCAACCCGGCCUCCGCGCCGGCCCCCGGCGGACCACUUUAACGCUGUUUCUAUGCGUCGGAGUACUUGAUGAAUCAAUCA